This 1282-nucleotide long non-coding RNA is filed under the name Homo sapiens (human). Its description in RNAcentral is "LHRI_LNC290.1". Lineage: Eukaryota; Metazoa; Chordata; Mammalia; Primates; Hominidae. The record is from RNAcentral.
GGCUUCCUCAGCAAGGCCAGAAAGAGGAGCACACCUCCCGGGCUCAUGCAGAACAGAAAAGGGCACGGACACCGGUGGGAAGGUCGAUGGGAGAAAUGAGGGAGACACCCUGGGGUGGAGUCCGGCUUUCCAUCCACCCUGGGGUGGAGUCUGGCUUUUCCAGAAUGGGCUUAAGCAGGAGAAUGGCAUUCUUAGUUGUUGCUUUAAUUAUUAAAAGUAGUAUAUGUUCUUGAUAAAAUGCACAUAUAGUAAAAAACGUAUAAAGUGAAAAAAAAAAAUCCCAUUCCCACGCUUGAAAGGAGGGGUCAUUUCUAAGAGAUUCACCUUGAAAACGUCCCUGGCUACAACUGGGAUCCAAAGUCAACAAGCACCAUGUUGUAACACGACAACUGUCCCCGCUGACCUACCUUGGCUUGCGCUGAUAAUGAUGUCAGGUUGAAAGACAAUCCAAGAUGAAGAAUCCACAUGUUAUAGGAAAUUCUAAACCAGGAAAAGAUGAAAACAAAAAGCAAACCCAGUUUCCGCUAGCACUCGCCCCUGCCCACCAUGUACUGAGUCCACGCUAAACGCGAGGCCCCUGGACAGUCAGGGAAGCUGCCUGCGGGGUGGCUCUCGGAGUGUUAUUCACAGCUGCCCGGAGGAGGACUUCAGGACCACUCUCUGAGGGUGACCACUUGCCCUGUUGUGCACGGUGCCACACCUUAGUAAAGGAUACAGAGUUUACAUGGAACAGGAGACUGGCUGGUCACGGCAGCAGGACCUACAAAUUGAGAAAACAUAAGUGCAACGAUGCAGUCAGAAAAUGCUGCAAAUGCUGGUACUUAUGACACAAAAGUCAAUACUUUUUAAUGUCAUUACGAAAUGUUUAUUCAAUUGUAGUCAAGGAAGAAAUGAACUGUUCCGUCUCACUGAAAGCACGUACGGGGAGGAAGGGGGAAGGAGCUAACAAUCCAGGAAAAUCUCACCAAGAAAAAGAAAGCAUGUCAAGGCUUCAAUCACUGUGGUUUGGGUUAUUUUUAAUAACCAAAGAUGACUCAUGAUCGUUUACAUAUGCACGUUAAGGAACUGAGAAAUUUACUUGAAGGAUUCAAAAUCAAAUACCCAGAUCAUCCACGGAGAAUGUUUCAAAUAAAUGUGGCUUGUAGCUUAAUUAUCUUUUUUUUUCUUUAAGAGAGGGUGUUGCUCUGCUGUCCAGGCUUGAGUGCAGUAGUUGAUCAUAGCCCACUAUAACCACGAACUCCUUGGCUCAAGUGGUCCUCCUGCCUCAGCCUUCAGAGUAGCU